GCCUUCGUGAUGUAGUGGUCAGCACGCUCGACGCAUAACCGAGAGGUCCGUGGUUCGAAUCCCUAUGAAGGCG
RNAcentral lists this transfer RNA (73 nucleotides) under Stegodyphus mimosarum. It matches the Rfam family "tRNA". Rfam says of the family: Transfer RNA (tRNA) molecules are approximately 80 nucleotides in length. Their secondary structure includes four short double-helical elements and three loops (D, anti-codon, and T loops). Further hydrogen bonds mediate the characteristic L-shaped molecular structure. tRNAs have two regions of fundamental functional importance: the anti-codon, which is responsible for specific mRNA codon recognition, and the 3' end, to which the tRNAs corresponding amino acid is attached (by aminoacyl-tRNA synthetases). tRNAs cope with the degeneracy of the genetic code in two manners: having more than one tRNA (with a specific anti-codon) for a particular amino acid; and 'wobble' base-pairing, i.e. permitting non-standard base-pairing at the 3rd anti-codon position. Lineage: Eukaryota; Metazoa; Arthropoda; Arachnida; Araneae; Eresidae. The record is from Rfam by way of RNAcentral.